CCUACGGGAGGCAGCAGUAGGGAAUAUUGCUCAAUGGGGGAAACCCUGAAGCAGCAACGCCGCGUGGAGGAUGAAGGUUCUAGGAUUGGUAACCCCCUUUGUUAGAGAAGAUUAUGACGGUAUCCAACGAAUAAGCACCGGCUAACUCCGUGCCAGCAGCCGCGGUAAUACGGGGGGUGCAAGCGUAACCCGGAAUCAGUGGUGUAAAGCGUGCGUAGGCGGGGUAAUAAGUCAGAUGUGAAAUCCUGUAGCUUAACUACAGAACUGCAUUUGACACUGUUACUCUGGAGUGUGGGAGAGGUAGGUGGAAUGCUUGGUGUAGGGGUGAAAUGCGUAGAGAUCAAGAGGAAUACUCAUUGCGAAGGCGGCCUGCUGGAACAUUACUGACGCUGAUGCACGAAAGCGUGGGGAGCGAACGGGAUUAGAUACCCGGGUAGUC
Molecule: ribosomal RNA, 439 nt
Filed under: uncultured bacterium
Lineage: Bacteria
Description: partial 16S ribosomal RNA
Rfam family: Bacterial small subunit ribosomal RNA
Source: RNAcentral